RNAcentral lists this ribosomal RNA (401 nucleotides) under uncultured bacterium. RNAcentral's name for it is "bacterial SSU rRNA". It matches the Rfam family "Bacterial small subunit ribosomal RNA", at positions 28 to 412 of the family's 1533-position model. The record is from RNAcentral.
GAUGAACGCUAGCGGCAGGCUUAACACAUGCAAGUCGAGGGGCAGCAUGACGGAACCUUCGGGUUUCGUUGAUGGCGACCGGCGCAAGGGUGCGUAACGCGUGAGCAACUUGCCCGUUUCUGGGGAAUAACCCGGUGGAAACGCCGACUAAUACCCCCAUAGUAUCAUUAUUAGGCAUCUUUUAAUGAUUAAAGAAUUUCGGAAACGGAUAGGCUCGCGUGACAUUAGCUAGAUGGCGGGGUAACGGCCCACCAUGGCUACGAUGUCUAGGGGUUCUGAGAGGAAGGUCCCCCACACUGGGAACCUGAGACACGGUCCAGACUCCUACGGGAGCAGCAGUGAGGAAUAUUGGGUCCAAAUGGGUCUGACGACUGAACCAGCCAUGCCGCGUGAAGGUCAGG